This 253-nucleotide ribosomal RNA is filed under the name uncultured bacterium. Its description in RNAcentral is "partial 16S ribosomal RNA". It matches the Rfam family "Bacterial small subunit ribosomal RNA", at positions 524 to 776 of the family's 1533-position model. The record is from RNAcentral.
UACGUAGGGUGCAAGCGUUGUCCGGAAUUAUUGGGCGUAAAGAGCUCGUAGGCGGUCUGUCGCGUCUGCUGUGAAAACUCAGGGCUUAACCCUGAGCUUGCAGUGGGUACGGGCAGACUAGAGUGCGGUAGGGGAGACUGGAAUUCCUGGUGUAGCGGUGAAAUGCGCAGAUAUCAGGAGGAACACCGGUGGCGAAGGCGGGUCUCUGGGCCUUACCUGACACUGAGGAGCGAAAGCGUGGGGAGCGAACAGG